CGCCUAUUAGCUAGCCGCUUAAACUAAAAACAACAAACUAUUAUUUAUACCCCCUAAAUCACUCAAUUACAUAAAGUAAACCAUUUUUCCCCCUAAGUAUGGGCGACAGAAAAGGAAUUCCCGCGCUAUAGAGGAAGUACCGCAAGGGAAUGCUGAAAGAGAAAUGAAAUAACCUAGUAAAGCCCAAGAAAGCAGAGACUUUACCUCGUACCUUUUGCAUCAUGAUUUAGCCAGAAAAUUACAAGCAAAGAGCACUUUAGUUUGACCUCCCGAAACUACGUGAGCUACUUCAAGACAGCCUAGCAAUUAAGGGCAAACCCGUCUCUGUUGCAAAAGAGUGGGAAGAGCUUUAAGUAGAGGUGACAGACCUACCGAACCUAGUUAUAGCUGGUUGCCUGAGAAAUGAAUAGGAGUUCAGCCUCCCGGGUUCUCCCCUCAAACUAGUGGCAUCUCCCACAUCCCCCCACCCGGCAUAGACACCAUGAGAAACCGAGAGAGUUAGUCAAAGGGGGUACAGCCCCUUUGACCUAGGAUACAACUUUAUUAGAAGGGUAAAGAACAUAUCCAAAUAUUUAAGGUAAGAUGUGCUGGUGGGCCUAAGAGCAGCCACCCCCCCCCCAGAAAGCGUUAAAGCUCAGACAUACUCACCACCCCCAAUCCCGAUAACUUAAUCUUAACCCCCUUAACCUUACCAGGCCGCCCCAUGCAAACAUGGGAGUGACCCUGCUAAUAUGAGUAAUAAGAGAGCAUCAAUCCCCCUCUCUCUCCCCGCACAAGUGUAACUCGGAACGGACCCCCCACCGAACUUUAACGUCCCCAAACAAAGAGGGCCUUGAAUAACAGACGUAUUAACUAGAAAAACAUUCAACCUAACUCAACCGUUGAACCCACACUGGUGUGCUUUCCGGGAAAGACUAACCGAAAAAGAAGGAACUCGGCAAACACAUAAAGCCUCGCCUGUUUACCAAAAACAUCGCCUCUUGCCAAACUUUAACGAAUAAGAGGUCCUGCCUGCCCCCUGACCAUGUAGUUUAACGGCCGCGGUAUUUUAACCGUGCAAAGGUAGCGUAAUCAUUUGUCUUUUAAAUAAGGACCCGUAUGAACGGCAACACGAGGGCUUGACUGUCUCCUUUUUCAAGUCAAUGAAAUUGAUUUUUCCGUGCAGAAGCGGGAAUUUUUACAUAAGACGAGAAGACCCUGUGGAGCUUUAGACACCAAGACAGACUAUGUAAGAACAGCCCUUUAUUAAAAGACCGAACAAAUUUUACCUGCCCUAAUGUCUUCGGUUGGGGCGACCCUGGGGAAUUACAAAACCCCCACGUGGAAUGGAAGCGACACAACUUAUGCUACCACAACCGAGAGCUUCCCCUCAAAUUAACAGAAUUUCUGACCAAACAUGAUCCGGCAACGCCGAUUAACGAACCAAGUUACCCCAGGGAUAACAGCGCAAUCCUCUUUUAGAGCCCAUAUCGACAAGAAGGUUUACGACCUCGAUGUUGGAUCAGGACAUCCUAAUGGUGCAACCGCUAUUAAGGGUUCGUUUGUUCAACGAUUAAAGUCCUACGUGAUCUGAGUUCAGACCGGAGCAAUCCAGGUCAGUUUCUAUCUAUGCCAUGCCCCUUUCCAGUACGAAAGGACCGAAAAGAAGAGGCCCAUACCUCUAGUACGCCUCCCCCUUACCCGAUGUAGACAACUAAACCAGAUAAAAGGGCAUACCCCCUCCCACCCCCUGCCUGAGAGAUAAGGCUUGAC
This 1752-nucleotide ribosomal RNA is filed under the name Otolithes ruber. Its description in RNAcentral is "16S ribosomal RNA". The stretch from base 97 to 1660 matches the Rfam family "Bacterial large subunit ribosomal RNA". The record is from RNAcentral. Lineage: Eukaryota; Metazoa; Chordata; Actinopteri; Sciaenidae.